UAUUAUUCAAAAGUCCAAAAAUUGAGACAUUAGUGAAAUAAAAAAAAAAUAAUUUUCACAAAAACAAAUUCGCAAAUCCAAAAAUGUCUUUGUCUGACUACGUAAAAAUAAUUAUGAAAAGGAUUGACUGGACAAAAGAUGAUCUCUCACUGUAAAGGCCUUCAAGGGAAGGCAUUGCAUUCAGGAGGCCUAGAAUAGCAAGCCCAAACAACAGCCCAUCACCAUUACAAUAAACCCCAAGAAUCACAAGCAGAAGACUCACCAUCUUCCUCUCUUCAGCACCGUCAAUCAUCCUUCACUGAGCUGGAAUGUCAAAAGGGAAAGGAAAAAACCAGGCGACGCAGGGAAUCCCAAACUGAGCAAGUGGAGACCAUUGAACAAGCAACCAAAAGGAGCACAUUUCCCAUCUAGCACCCAAGCCUCUGGAACCAAAAGAUCGAAAUAAAAGGUACGAACGAACGGUAAGACAGCCCUUUUGCAUUCUAGCUCUUGAGGGACUGACGCCUCAAAGAUGACAUAAAUAGCGUCUCAGAGAGGUAUCGUGCCACAAAUAAUCAGAACUCGUUAACCCAUUGACCCGAAGCAGCCCAAGCAAUAAUAACCACAAAAAGUAAAAAAUCUCCUCGUCAUAGCUUCAAAUAUUUAAGUAGAAGAGAAACACACAUAAGCAGAUUCCUGGUUCUGUCUUCAAUGAAGAUCAAACAUUUAGCGAAACCAAAACUAUAAACAACCCUGCCUGGAGGUGAGAAGGGAGAACCCAUUCAUGGGGCAAGAAAAGUUGACCCCUAC
RNAcentral lists this unclassified non-coding RNA (789 nucleotides) under Hevea brasiliensis (rubber tree). Lineage: Eukaryota; Viridiplantae; Streptophyta; Magnoliopsida; Malpighiales; Euphorbiaceae. The record is from RNAcentral.